This 640-nucleotide ribosomal RNA is filed under the name uncultured bacterium. RNAcentral's name for it is "bacterial SSU rRNA". It matches the Rfam family "Bacterial small subunit ribosomal RNA", at positions 8 to 650 of the family's 1533-position model. The record is from RNAcentral.
AGAGUUUGAUCCCGGCUCAGGAUGAACGCUGGCGGCGUGCCUAACACAUGCAAGUCGAACGGGUGUACGGGGAGGAAGGCUUCGGCCGGAAAACCUGUGCAUGAGUGGCGGACGGGUGAGUAACGCGUGGGCAACCUGGCCUGUACAGGGGGAUAACACUUAGAAAUAGGUGCUAAUACCGCAUAACGGGGGAAGCCGCAUGGCUUUUCCCUGAAAACUCCGGUGGUACAGGAUGGGCCCGCGUCUGAUUAGCCAGUUGGCAGGGUAACGGCCUACCAAAGCGACGAUCAGUAGCCGGCCUGAGAGGGCGGACGGCCACACUGGGACUGAGACACGGCCCAGACUCCUACGGGAGGCAGCAGUGGGGGAUAUUGCACAAUGGGGGGAACCCUGAUGCAGCGACGCCGCGUGGGUGAAGAAGCGCCUCGGCGCGUAAAGCCCUGUCAGCAGGGAAGAAAAUGACGGUACCUGAAGAAGAAGCCCCGGCUAACUACGUGCCAGCAGCCGCGGUAAUACGUAGGGGGCAAGCGUUAUCCGGAUUUACUGGGUGUAAAGGGGGCGCAGACGGCGAUGCAAGCCAGGAGUGAAAGCCCGGGGCCCAACCCCGGGACUGCUCUUGGAACUGCGUGGCUGGAAUGCA